ACGGUGGCGCAGGCGCCAGGGAGGUUCCCCGGCUUUGCCGCGCGGAGGAAGUCCCGGUUACGCAGAGCGCGCUGGGGCAGGGCUGACCUUCCCCUUUCUCUACUUCACUGGCCUCCUCCAGACGUGGUGGUUGCGCCCUUUCGGCCUCGCUUUCCGUUUUUUGGCUUCAUCCCCUAGAUCUGCAAACAGUUCCUCGUGUUUCUUCCGUUAGCCGGGAAACGCGAACUGCAGCGUUUGGGACCCGGGUUUGCGCGUGUGGAAAGCAAAAGGGGUUACUCUGCUGGAGUUCGACAUUGCAAAUAAAGAUAAUGUCUGUGCCUAUCAGAUAAAGGCAAACCAGUGCUCAGAGGAACCCAACCAUCUCUGAAUUGAGACCAGAGAGCUGUCUCUAUGGAUAGUCCUUAGAGAAGGCAUUUCGGAACACAGUAAACAGCAGCCUGGUGACUCCGAUUACAGGGCCAGUUGCCUUUGUUACAAUAAAAGCAAGUCAUCUACACAGACAAACUGCGGCCUGGACCAGCUGGUGAAACAUAAUUCUGAAUCCUGCCCACAGCCUUCGGUGGUUUUGGAUGAAAGGCCAGCGCCUUGGGAGCCCUGCGUUUGAUUUCAAGUUUUAAGGCCGGCACUGGUGGAGCAAUGAAUGGUGAAAGCUCUCCCCUUAAAGGAGCACAGUUGCCUUUAGGUGACUGCUAACUCAGGCUUUUGCUGAGGACAGUGUUUACUUUGUGAGCUUAAUGACAGGGCUGGCUUUCUGGGAGUGUUGCAAUGAAACAGACUCAGACACAGGCCAUCAUGGGCCUCCUCCCUAGCAAGGCCGCCACGGCUGGCAUCUCAAGAGCAGUCCGUUGAACUUGGGAUUUGGGUGUGAGACACAGUUUCAUCAGAAGAAUUUAAACCAAAGUCUACAUUUGCCCUCUAGAUAAAUGUGUGUGUUCAGCAGCAACCACAACUCCUUGCCUCAUUCUCUUGGUUGAUUAUGUGACUGUGAGAAGAAAAGCAAAAGCAAAAA
This is a long non-coding RNA of Homo sapiens (human), 1009 nucleotides long. Ensembl annotates it as PPP1CB divergent transcript. Its record names the gene PPP1CB-DT. NCBI's taxonomy places the organism in Eukaryota, Metazoa, Chordata, Mammalia, Primates, Hominidae. The record is from Ensembl.